UUGGAGGGCAAGUCUGGUGCCAGCAGCCGCGGUAAUUCCAGCUCCAAUAGCGUAUAUUAAAGUUGUUGCAGUUAAAAAGCUCGCAGUUGAAUUUCGGGAUCAAGGGAUCGGUCAUGCCUUGGUAUGUACUGGUCUUAUUGGUUCUCACCUUCUAAAGAACCAUGAUGUCAUUCAUUUGAUGUUAUGGGGAAUUAGGACUGUUACCUUGAAAAAAUUAGAGUGUUUAAAGCAAGCUUACGCUUGAAUACAUUAGCAUGGAAUAAUGAAAUAGGACAUCAGAUUCUAUUUUGUUGGUUUCUAGGAUCGAUGUAAUGAUUAAUAGGGAUAGUUGGGGGCAUUAGUAUUCAAUUGUCAGAGGUGAAAUUCUUGGAUUUAUUGAAGACUAACUACUGCGAAAGCAUUUGCCAAGGAUGUUUUCAUUAAUCAAGAACGAAAGUUAGGGGAUCGAAGACGAUCAGAUACCGUCGUAGCCUUAACCAUAAACUAUGCCGACUAGGGAUCGGAUGAUGUUAAUUUUUUAAUGACUCAUUCGGCGCCUUACGGGAAACCAAAGUGUUUGGGUUC
RNAcentral lists this ribosomal RNA (564 nucleotides) under uncultured Glomeromycotina. RNAcentral's name for it is "SSU rRNA". It matches the Rfam family "Eukaryotic small subunit ribosomal RNA", at positions 548 to 1114 of the family's 1831-position model. The record is from RNAcentral. Lineage: Eukaryota; Fungi; Glomeromycota.